This 516-nucleotide ribosomal RNA is filed under the name uncultured Paraglomus. RNAcentral describes it as "SSU rRNA". It matches the Rfam family "Eukaryotic small subunit ribosomal RNA", at positions 569 to 1088 of the family's 1831-position model. Lineage: Eukaryota; Fungi; Glomeromycota; Glomeromycetes; Paraglomerales; Paraglomeraceae. The record is from RNAcentral.
AGCAGCCGCGGUAAUUCCAGCUCCAAUAGCGUAUAUUAAAGUUGUUGCAGUUAAAAAGCUCGUAGUUGAACUUCAGGCCUGGCUGGACGGUCCGCCUUCCGGGCGAGCACUGUCUGUGGUCGGGUCCUACCUUCUGGCGAAGCGUCAUGGCCUUAACCGGCCGUGGCGGGGAACCAGGACUUUUACUGUGAAAAAAUUAGAGUGUUCAAAGCAGGCAAUUCGCUUGGAUACAUUAGCAUGGAAUAAUGGAAUAGGACAAUGGUUCUAUUUGUUGGUUUCUAGGACUGUUGUAAUGAUUAAUAGGGAUAGUUGGGGGCAUUAGUAUUCAAUUGUCAGAGGUGAAAUUCUUGGAUUUAUUGAAGACUAACUACUGCGAAAGCAUUUGCCAAGGAUGUUUUCAUUAAUCAAGAACGAAAGUUAGGGGAUCGAAGACGAUCAGAUACCGUCGUAGUCUUAACCAUAAACUAUGCCGACUAGGAAUCGGGCGAUGUUGACAAAAUGACGCGCUCGGCACCU